UACGGGGGGGGCAAGCGUUGUUCGGAAUUACUGGGCGUAAAGGGCUCGUAGGCGGCCAACUAAGUCAGACGUGAAAUCCCCAGGCUCAACCUGGGAACUGCGUCUGAUACUGGAUGGCUUGAAUUCGGGAGAGGGAUGCAGAAUUCCAGGUGUAGCGGUGAAAUGCGUAGAUAUCUGGAGGAAUACCGGUGGCGAAGGCGGCAUCCUGGACCGACAUUGACGCUGAUGAGCGAAAGCCAGGGGAGCGAACGGG
Molecule: ribosomal RNA, 253 nt
Filed under: uncultured bacterium
Lineage: Bacteria
Description: partial 16S ribosomal RNA
Rfam family: Bacterial small subunit ribosomal RNA
Source: RNAcentral